UGAGGAAUUUUCGUCAAUGGCCGAAAGGCUGAACGAGCAACGCCGCGUGCAGGAAGAAGGUUUUCGGAUCGUAAACUGCUUUUCUGUGGGAAGAGAACGGACGGUACCACAGGAAGAAGCCCCGGCUAACUACGUGCCAGCAGCCGCGGUAAUACGUAGGGGGCGAGCGUUGUCCGGAGUUACUGGGCGUAAAGGGCGUGCAGGCGGUGUGGUAAGUUUAGAGUGACAGUAUCCGGCUUAACUGGAUAAGGCCUCUGAAAACUGCCAGACUUGAGGGCCAGAGAGGGACAUAGAAUUCCGGGUGGAGUGGUGAAAUGCGUAGAUAUCCGGAGGAAUACCAAAGGCGAAGGCAGUGUCCUGGCUGGCAACUGACGCUGAGGCGCGAAAGCUAGGGGAGCGAACAGGAUUAGAUACCCCGGUAGUCC
Molecule: ribosomal RNA, 425 nt
Filed under: uncultured bacterium
Lineage: Bacteria
Description: bacterial SSU rRNA
Rfam family: Bacterial small subunit ribosomal RNA
Source: RNAcentral